ACGGCUCAGUAACACGUCGAUAACCUGCCUUGAGGUCUGGGAUCACCUUGGGAAACUGAGGGCAAACCCGGAUAUGGAAUGAAUACUGGAACGUAUCAUUCUUCAAAGGAAACGCCUCAAGAUGGGUCGGCGGCCUAUCAGGUAGUUGGUGAGGUAAUGGCUCACCAAGCCGAAGACGGGUAGGGGCCUUGAGAGAGGUUGCCCCGAGAAGGACACUGAGAUACGGGUCCUAGCCCCUAAGGGGUGCAGCAGUCACGAAAACUCUGCAAUGCGCGAAAGCGUGACAGGGGGAUUCUGAGUGCUCAUACACAGUAUGGGCUUUUCUUCAGAGCAAAAAUCUGAGGGAAUAAGUGGUGGUCAAGACUGGUGCCAGCCGCCGCGGUAACCCCAAGCGCCACAAGUAAGGAACCACGCUUAUUGGGUCUAAAGCGGUCCCGUAGCCGGGUCCCUUUAAAUGCCCUGUGAAAUUCGCCCGAAGCUCAACUGGACGGGCGUGCAGGGGUAGACUUGGAGGACUUGAGCCCCAGGAAAGGCAAGCCAGUAUUCCCCGGGGGAAGCGGUAAAAUGUGAUAAUCCCGGGAGGACUACCCGAUGCGAAGGCAGCCUGCUAGAAUGGAUCUGACGGUGAGGGAUGAAAGCUAGGGGAGCGAUCCGGAUUAGAUACCCGAGUAGUCCUAGCCGUAAACGCUGAGAGCCAGAUGUUACGGAUUCCUCGAGAAUCCGUAGUGUCGAAAAGAAGUUGCUAAGCUCUCCACCUGGGAAGUACGGUCGCAAGGCUGAAACUUAAAGGAAUUGGCGGGGGAGCAC
RNAcentral lists this ribosomal RNA (807 nucleotides) under uncultured archaeon. RNAcentral's name for it is "bacterial SSU rRNA". It matches the Rfam family "Archaeal small subunit ribosomal RNA", at positions 85 to 879 of the family's 1478-position model. The record is from RNAcentral.